AUGACGACAUGGCGAUUUACCAAUCACCAGAAGAUGUUGAAGACAAAGAUUUCUGUGGUGGUGUCGGUAAUGGUGGUGGUGGUGGUGGGGAGUUGGAGGUGGUUUUGCUUUCGGCAAUGGUGGUGGUGGUGGGUUUGGAGGUGGUGUUGGCUUCAAAAAUGGUGGUGGUGGGUUUGGAUGUGGUGUUGGCUUCUGCAUUGGUGGUGGUGGUGGGUUUGGUGGUGGAGGAUGUGGUGGUGGUGGUGGUGGUGGGGUUUUUGGAGGUGGCGAAGCUUUCGGUAA
RNAcentral lists this ribosomal RNA (282 nucleotides) under Triticum aestivum (bread wheat). RNAcentral's name for it is "partial small subunit ribosomal RNA". The record is from RNAcentral. Lineage: Eukaryota; Viridiplantae; Streptophyta; Magnoliopsida; Poales; Poaceae.